CUUUUUUUUUUUUUUUUUUUUUUUUUUUUUAAUUUUUAAAGACUGAAGCAAAAUAAACAUAGGAAGCUUCAUCUUUAUUUGUGUCUGUUACUUUCUGUUACUUGCUCUUCUCUAUUAAAUGAUGACCUUAUAUUUUCUUUUGUCUUUCUCAGAUUUCAAGUACAUACCCUUUUUGAUUUUUAUAUACCUAGCUGGUAUUAAUUCAUUUUGCACAUUAACAUUUCUUAUUUUGUCCAUCAUGCUUAUAUUUUCUGAUUAUAAAUAUCCUAUGGAUAUGGAGGUGUUUUAAUUUAUAUUACUGGAGUGGAUAAAAACAUUCCUUAUUGCUCAUUACUGUUGCACUGCUAGAGGUUAUAGCCUCCAUGCUUGCUAAUCCAUGGGUUAGUGUAAAUCAUUGCUAGGGGUGAAAUACAAAAGAUGUUCUGAAAUGCUCAAUCAUAUAUUACUUUUCCCACUUGUCUUUUUUUCAAAGAAUUCCAUAUUUUCAUCUUUCUCUGCUUCCUACUUUCUUCUAUGUUGACAUAAUUGUACUUUUCAUGUCACCUUUUUUUCAACAGCUGCAAGAUCUUUUGCACUCCUAUUCUCAACAGUUAUUUACACAAGAAAAUCUAUUUCAGGGAGGUUUCUGAUUUUAAGAAAAUCAGCUUAUUUUGAAAAGCGUGAUUAGUUAUAGAGGAAUUGGAAAUUGUUCAAGAAAGCUUGAGCAAGACAAUUAUUUUCCAAAAGAAGGCUGAAAUAUUUCUUACAGAGGCCCACAAAGCACAUAUCUUUUCUGUGAGUCGAGGAGGUUGAUGACAAUUGUUUGCAGUUAGAAAAGCUUUCAGACAUUCACCACAGACAACCUUUGGUUCACACGCAUAAUUCUAAGUUUGAAGCACAUUCUACAUGAUCAGGCAUGUAAAGGUGGAAAGAUUGUCUUAAAACCAAUGCAUUUCAUUCUCAUAUUAAUUUCAGCUUCUCUUGUAUAAGCUCUGAUUUGCAUACCAACAGUCAGUGGCAGAAAAAAGUUUAAAGUAAGAAAGUAAGCUUUGUUGCUGCAGAUCUCUCAAACUUGACUGUGAAGCAUGGGUGGUCUCAUUUGCUAUUCUCCAACUUUUUCUCAUCUUGUGAAUUGAUUGUCAGAGGACUUCUUGAUUUGCUGUAGGAUGUUUAGUAUUGUUACACUCCUGAAGCAAAGAAUAUUCGAUGAGAUUUUGUUGUUAAUAAUGUAGAAGAAAUUGGCAUAUUGGAGGAAUCCAUCAAUCAUACAUUUAAAAGAAACUAAUAGUUGAUGCUUCAAAGACAGAUGUUCACAUUCUUUAAUCUGCUAAAUCCUUGUAGUGUUAUUGAAUUGCUUUAGACUUACUAGUUCAGAGGACAGCACUGUUCUGUCCUUAGACCAAUUAACUGGAUAUCAUCCCAUUGACACGAGUUGUGCUGGGACUGCUUUAACAGUUAACAGGUUCUUUGCUGGGAAAGAAAGAUAAAAUUGUUUUACUUACAAACCAAAGUGAGAUGGUGAGACUAAUUUUGAACUUCAUAUCCUUGAAAAUACUGUUGCAACUGUGUAGCCAUUCAGAAAGCUUAAGAAAAAAAAUCACUGCAGAAUGAGGGAUACAGAAUUUAAAAGGGAAAAAACAGUUAAUUUCCAAAGAUUUUUCUACCUGAUAUAGGAUAAAAUGACUCUAUGACAUCAGCACUAAGGUAUUGGAGAUUCCUUCUAGUAAAAAAUAGAAAGAAGUCUUUCUACAUCAUUCUUCAUUAAAGUUGUCACUUUUAAGGUAGCAACUAGUUUACCUAAUUCCAGCUGCAACAAGUAAGAUCUCAAAAUAUAAAAGAGAAGGAGCAGAAAAGAGAUUUUUGAUCAUGUAAGCCUGAUGAAUUUCCUCCAGCAGUACUCAAAGAAUAGACUGAUGAAAUUUUAUGUCUAUUCAUAAUUUGAGAGUCUGGGAAAGAAUGAACUUCCAGAAAACUGACUUUGCACAACAAAGGUUUCUCUCUUUAAAAAACACAAAGUGUGUAGAACUUAUAGACCACUUGACUAACUUCAAUUUCUAAAAAAGUAUUGAGUAAUCAAAGAAAAUAUUAGUAAGCAACACAAAGGUAAGGAGAGGAGGAAUAGUCACCAUGGAUUUGCCAAGAACAAAUCAUAUAGAACAAGUCUAAUUUCCUUCUCAAAGUGGGUAUCAGUCCUUGUUGACUUAGAAAAAACAAUUUAAUAUUUUUCUUGAUGUUAAUAAAGCUUCUGACACUGUCUGACAUGACAUUUACAUAAGCAAGCAAAAGAAAUAAAUAGACAAAUUAAUGGAUGUAUGUAAAAUGAGUUUAAAAAUUGUACUUAGAGAAUAGUUAGUGAUGUUUCACUGUCAAAACGAAAGGCUGAACUGCAUGGAAUUUCACAGGAGUCUAUCCUGAAUAUUGUCAUUACUCCGAAUGUAGAGAGAGAGGCCCAUUUUAACACUGCAAGACAUGUGAAUCCUUUCAUUUUCGAGUAACUUCCAGAGACUCUGAUAUGAACAGCUUUAGUUUUGUUCUUUUUGCUGUAGCCAAGUAGUUAGAAACGAAAUCAUGUCAACUUCCUCACUUAAAAGUGUUCCCCCUCUAAAAAUGUAUCCUGUCUUAUUCUAGAAGGGACUGUGUAACUUGUAGGCUGGACUCCCAGAGCCAGCUGCAAGGAUUCUCUCUACUCAUCUAUGUUAGGGCUCCCCAUAAUCAUUGAGCAUGACUAUAUAUUCACCACAUGAGUGUGAAAGCUCUUGUUUGUGUGCGGAGUGAGUGGGGAGAACAGGAGCAUGCACACUGUUGAAUGGUUGUGUUAAUGUCAGUCAUAAAAAAUGGGUAGGCUGCAGGACUGAUGAGUAUUUUCAAACUGACAUUGCAGCCAACUGGAUCAGUUGUCUGACUGCCAAAGGCAUCAUGAAUUUAGACAUAAUGGCAGUGAAACAAGCAGCAAGUAAAGGGGGAUGGGUCUGAAAGGCAAGAACUAACAGGUUUCAUUCAAAAUAAAAAUCUAAAGCAAAAGAGGAUUUUGUUGGCUUUCUUUGCUCUCAUUUGCUGAUAUGUUGAACUCUACUAAUUGAUUCCAUUAACAGGAAACCUGUCUUUGUGAGGAGACUGGAGUUUUCAGAACAAAUGCUUUUACAAAUUGAAUAUAUUAUAAAGUUGGUUGUAUUUGGCCUCUUAGGCAAGAUACAAAACAACAUCCUUGAAGUUCCAUUAGUAGAACACAAUGUUCACAUCUACACGAUCCCCAUAAUGAAUUCCUUAUCGGCAUUAUUUAAAAAAUAACCAGAAGUUGAAAAAACUGCAAGCAGGGUACCUAGGAGAAGGAGAUUGUAGUGAGCCUUCCCUGUGAACUUCUUCCUCCAUUCAUCUACCAGGAAGAUCUUCCAUGCUUUCCAUUAAGCUGGGGAGAUUCCACAAUCCCAGAGACCUUCAUGCCAAGCGUCUGUGAUUCUCUGAAAUUGCUCUGCUACAUGAAGCUACACAGUGUAAGUUUUUAAAGUAAUGC
RNAcentral lists this long non-coding RNA (3490 nucleotides) under Gallus gallus (chicken). RNAcentral describes it as "lncRNA (ENSGALG00010016187.1)". The record is from RNAcentral. Lineage: Eukaryota; Metazoa; Chordata; Aves; Galliformes; Phasianidae.